AGUCGAACGGCAGCACGGGAGCUUGCUCCUGGUGGCGAGUGGCGAACGGGUGAGUAAUGCGUCGGAACGUACCGAGUAAUGGGGGAUAACGCAGCGAAAGCUGUGCUAAUACCGCAUACGCCCCGAGGGGGAAAGCAGGGGAUCGCAAGACCUUGCGUUAUUCGAGCGGCCGACGUCUGAUUAGCUGGUUGGUGGGGUAAAGGCCUACCAAGGCGACGAUCAGUAGCGGGUCUGAGAGGAUGAUCCGCCACACUGGGACUGAGACACGGCCCAGACUCCUACGGGAGGCAGCAGUGGGGAAUUUUGGACAAUGGGGGCAACCCUGAUCCAGCCAUUCCGCGUGAGUGAAGAAGGCCUUCGGGUUGUAAAGCUCUUUCAGCUGGAACGAAACGGUACGCGCUAACAUCGCGUGCUAAUGACGGUACCGGCAGAAGAAGCACCGGCUAACUACGUGCCAGCAGCCGCGGUAAU
This 471-nucleotide ribosomal RNA is filed under the name uncultured bacterium. RNAcentral's name for it is "bacterial SSU rRNA". It matches the Rfam family "Bacterial small subunit ribosomal RNA", at positions 60 to 524 of the family's 1533-position model. The record is from RNAcentral.